CUUCGGGUGUGGCCCCGGUCUAAGUUCCUUGGAACAGGACGUCACAGAGGGUGAGAAUCCCGUACGUGCCCGGUGGCCGCCCCCGUGUGAAGCUCCUUCGACGAGUCGAGUUGUU
This 115-nucleotide ribosomal RNA is filed under the name Oidiodendron sp. RNAcentral's name for it is "partial large subunit ribosomal RNA". It matches the Rfam family "Eukaryotic large subunit ribosomal RNA", at positions 162 to 274 of the family's 3401-position model. Lineage: Eukaryota; Fungi; Ascomycota; Leotiomycetes; Myxotrichaceae. The record is from RNAcentral.